Molecule: long non-coding RNA, 3071 nt
Filed under: Canis lupus familiaris (dog)
Lineage: Eukaryota; Metazoa; Chordata; Mammalia; Carnivora; Canidae
Description: lncRNA (ENSCAFG00845019401.1)
Source: RNAcentral
UUUUUUUUUUUUUUUUCCUUAAAAAGAGGCUCCUUCCCUGACUCAGAAAUCAAAAGCCUAGGACUCUUGAUCAAGGUGGAUCUGAAUUUGGUCACUAUGAGGCGAGGCCUGGAGAUACUGCAUUUCCAAGGAGCUCUCAGGUGAAGCCCACGGACCACAUAGAGCAUGAGACCAAAGUAAAUAGCUAGUGAAAAGCUGGUCCAGAGCAUUGCAAGAAACAUCUUGCUUUCCUCUAGGUGAACCAUGUGGGCAAUGUCAACUGGGCCACAGGAUUCAGGACGAAGCAGUGAUGUUGGGCCCUCCCUCACAGGAACAGUUCCUGCCCUUUGUAGAGCCACGAUGUCCUAGACAGAGGGGCAUGCAUCACAGAAACAGACCUGUCUGCUAGUUCACCACCCCAGAUGAUGUCAGCUUGGACUGGGCCAGUCUGGAUGGAAGGAAGACCUAUGCCUUCCCUCCUUUACCACAGCAAACUCUCUUUUUCCUUCAAAAUUUACCCCCACCUUCAGGAAGCCACCCUGGCUAACCCAGCCUACUCCAAACUCUCCGUCCUCUCACUUUCCACAGCACUGACCAACCAGCUGUACCCCUGAGCACUCACCUGCUAUUCCAGGCACCUGCCUCUCCUUUCCAGGCACUUGCUUCCCUUUCUCAUUGCCACACCUCUGCUUCUGCUACUUCUCCCAUGAUGUACUCCCCACCACUCUCCAUCUCCAUAUAUCUGAGGCACAGCUUACCCCUAGGAUUCCCCUAGAAACAGGCCUUACAAUGGCAGCUCUUCAUCUGACCUUGGGUCUCUGUACCCAGCACUGGUCACCCCAGUCAUGUCUCCACAAUCAGAUCUUCAGGCUCUCAUCUGCUAUGGUCUCUUUUGUUUGACAUGAGUCCCUGGCUUUAUGCUGUGGGGGCACCUGCAUCAGCCUCUCCCUGAGUGACCUACGCAGUAUAAUAGAGACCCUGUCCAUCCACUCAUCCAUUCAUCCAUCCCUUCACAUUUACCAAGUGCCUGGCCCUGGGCUGGAUUCUGGGGGACCCUGUGCUGCCCACAGCCAGAAAGGACAUAGCACCAACCACAGCUUUGCUCAUGGGCACAAGAGGUACUUGUGAGAAGUGACGUGGGACCCGGCUCAGCAUACCAAUCCUUGAUGACACCACAGCAGGUCUCUCUGCAUCCUUGUCAUCUGUCACCUCCCCCACGAUUACUGUGAUCACUGAUCAUCAUGCAAAUCACAGUAGGCAUGGCUGAAGCACGUACAUCAUCCCCAGUGUUAGAAAGCCUGUGGAAUCCCGAGUCUGUCAUCUAAAGUUCAGAAAUGAGCCAAAGGCAUCUUCUGCAGCUUGAACAUAGCACCAAUCAGAAGGGCUGUGAAACCCCUUCGGAGUUGGAGUGGCAGGAACAAGGUGAUGAGCAGCCUGGGGUGCCCAGCCCUGAGCAUCUGGCCUGAGCCUGCAUGUGAUUCCCUGUGUAGGAUGAGAAUACCCUUCAUGGGAAAAUCACACCUUUCUUCAUAAAAAUAAAACCCUAAACCAAAAGAUACCUCUAAUAAGAACACCCCAGGGAAGCAGAAUCCUUGGGGACAUCUACCUGAUUUCUGCUGCCACCAAUGGGGAGACAGUUCCUCCUGCAAUACCAAGCAGGGAUCAGGGCACAAGUCCUUCCUUCAUAUCCAGGAGUAUAGUGGAGACGAGGUUAGUAUUUGGGGAUGACACACGGGAAAUAAAUACCAGGAACACAAUCCUGGUUCACCCAAAGCUGGGUUUCCUAUGGAGGCUCACAUAGUCACAUAGUGACAGCUCACUUUCCAGGGUCCUGGCCCCUAUCUGGGGAUGUACUUCAUCCCUGAUAACUAAUAACCAUCCCUGUGGGGAAGAUCUUGGUCCAUCUCUACCUCCACUCCAGGAAUAAGACCCAGCAGGUAACAAACCAUGGUCUUCUUAGCACAACACAGCAACCCAGACACGCAGAAGUAGGGGUGGCAUUCCUCUGUAGCCUCCAAACAACCAUCCAAGUUGAAAAUGGACCCAGAACAGACAACCCAACAAUAAAAAUGGACAAAGGAUCUGAACAUGCAUUUCAUCAAAGAAUAUAUAUGAAGGACUAAGAAGCAUGUGAAAAGCACAUCACUAGUCACUACAGAAAUGUACGGGGAAACCACAAUGAGAUGCCAUUAUAUGGCUAAGAGAAUGGUUAAAACUUAAAAGACUGGCAAUAUCAGCUGUCAGUAAGGAUGUGGAGCAACCAGGACUCUCAUACGUUUCUGGUAGGAAUGCAAGGUGGUGCAGCCACUCUGGAAAACAAAUUGGCAAUCUCGUAAAGUCAAACAUACAUUUACCAUAUUCUCCAGCAAUUCCGCUCUUAGGUACUUAACCAAGAGAAAUGCAAACCUAUUUUUCAUUUUGUGUCCAUAUGAAGACAUGUACUCACAGUAGCUUUAUUCAAAAAAGCCAAAAACUAGAAACUAGGAAAAAACGCCCAUCAACUGUUGGACGGAUAAACCAACCAUGAUUUAUCUAUGCAAUGGGGAUGGUACUCAGCAAUAAAAAGGAAGGAACCAGUGAUACACAAAACAACAUGAUGAAUCUCAAAUGCAUUAUGCUGAGUGAAAGAAGGCAAACAUAUGCUACGAUUCCAUUUAUAUGAACUUCUAGAAAAGGCAAAACUAGAGAGCCAGAAAUCAGCUCAGUUGUUGAGAGAGAAUAAGAGGACAGGGAGGGGAAUGACAGUGAAGGGACAUGAGGGUAAUGAAAAUAUUCUGUAUCGUGUUUGUACGAUGGCUACACAACCAUAUUCGUUUGUCAAGUCUCAAGGGACUAUACAGUUAAAAUUGGUGACUGUUACUGAAUGUAAGUUAUAUCAAGAAAAUUUAUUUAUUUAAAGAAAAUGGACCCAGGUGGGGAUUAAGGAGUGCACUUAUGGUGAUGAGCACUGGUGUUGUAUGGAAGUGCUGAAUCACUAAACUGUACACCUGAAGCUAAUAUUACUAACUGGAAUUUAAAUCAAAUUUUUUUUAAAAAAAUUAAAAUCACAAUAAAAAAAAAUAGACCACAGACUCAAAAAACUAUUUUCAAAU